Non-coding RNA from Caenorhabditis elegans, 127 nucleotides. NCBI's taxonomy places the organism in Eukaryota, Metazoa, Nematoda, Chromadorea, Rhabditida, Rhabditidae. The record is from Ensembl.
CUUUUGCGGUGAAACGUAUGAAAUUUGAGUUUCGAGUCGAAGAAGAAUUUUCAAACAGACACACUGAAAAUCUUAUGAAGUUCCGGAGAGAAACAAAAACUGAAAGAUGGAUUUUUAAAAGUUUUUU